CUCUCUCUAUCUCUAAUUUGUCCUUUAUAGUUGCUCACAAGGUGUUCUACUGUUGGUUGUUUUUAGCUACAAGUUUUUUGUCAUUAAAAUUAAUGUAGUACGGAGAUUUUCAUAAACUUCGAGGUCCACAUUUUAUUGGCAGAUUUCUUGUCUUUCCCCAAUCUCCCUUAUUUCUGUAGCUAUUAGCGGAAACCGUUACAGGCGACCUUCUCUCUUAAGCUUCCGUACCUAGUGCUGGUUUCUAUAUAUCUCAAUUAUGCUCGCUUUCCUAAAGGAGCGAAGGUCAGGAUCCAGCAGAACUAUGUUCGGACACGCUGUUCAGGCUUCAGGCCAAAUGUUGUUAAGCCUUGUUCUCAUGAAUAGCCGAAGAUGUAUUUGGCCUGGUUAGUAAGCUUUCACAGUUUUGUUUAGAAGAAUUAUGAAAUAACCGAGGCCCAAAAGUGGGGAAGGUGAUGACAGAGUACCCGGCGAGUGAUAUUCAAGUCGGUUCUUCUUCAGGCUAUCCAACGAUUCCCUAGCUGUAGCCUGACUUUCUUCUACUGUGGAAACGGGAGAAAGAAGCUUCUCUGUGAGGAAUACUCCCCUCUUCUUUAGAAGUUCGGACAGGUGGAGAAAAUAGUGGAUAAUGUUUUCCAUUGUCCGUUCUACUGUAAGGUCUUUAUUGGCCAUUCUCGAUUCCAACAAGUGAACGUUGUAGUGAUGGAGUUUGAACAGUUAUAAAACCUAUCUGCAGUCAUUCGCACUAUUCACUUUGCUCGAUAGGGUAUCUGCACAAUACCCCUUCUUACUGUCCAGUUUGACUGUGAUUCUCAGCAGGCAUACAAGAAGACAAUGGAGUCGCCACAUGCCCUAAAAGGACAAAAGAAAAACUGAAAAUUGUGACUAAUGUAGUUGUCUUAUAGUUAGUGGUUGCGACGGGAUAUUAUUCAGUAUUGAUUUGGUGUUUCUGCAAAAUUCUGAUGGUCAAUUCGUGGAGAUAAGUAUUUUUUGUCAUAGUAUUUUUUUUGUUAUGAUUUAUGAAACAACGUUCAAAAAACAGAUAAGUAUUUUUUGUCAUAGUAUUUUUUUUGUUAUGAUUUAUGAAUAAGUAUUUUUUGUCAUGACUUAGCAACAAUGUAUAUUAUUCUGUAUUUAAUUGGUGUUUCAGCAAAGUUCUGAUGGCAAAUUCAUGGACAGAGAACCUUACAUGGUAUUUUUUUUGUUAUGAUUUAUGAAACAACGAUAAAAAAACAGGAGUAUUUUUUGUCAUGACUUAGCAACAACGUUGAAAGAACAUGUGAGUUCAGUAAGGGCAAAGCCCAUACUAGAAAAUAUUGUGAUAACAUUGCUGAUGGCAGCUAUGACAAGUAAAUGUAAAACAUUGCAGUAAUAGUUUCUUUCAAGAACGUAUCAUAGUAAUGAUAUCUUUCUGGAAGGCUUCUGGAAAAGGUUUCAAAAUUUUUGCUUCAAUAAGAAACUCUCAGGAACUCAGAAAGCCAAAAAAAUAUAAAGAAUAAUAAAGAAUUUGAAACUAUGAACUUUUUCCACUAACAUAUACAAGGAAAAUAAUUAAAAGAACAUGAAAUUUUGAGUUUUCAGUUAAUUUUCUUACCAAAAAAUUACAAACAUUCAGAAUAAUUUUUUAAAAUUCUAAGAGAAACAAAAAUAAAAAAGAAAAAGAAAAUAUACACUUAAACUACAUGUAGAGGAGGGCUUAUAUGGAUAGGAAACUGUGGAUCAUAAUCCAUCAAAAGCCGGUCUCCUUAGUAGGUAGCUGAACCAAAUGCUGUGUGGGUCAUAAUCCAUCAAAAGCUGAUUAGUCUUCUUAAUGGAUAGCUGAAUCAAAUGAUCUGCAUGCAACUGUUGCUCUCUUCAAAUUCUUUUAGAUACUCAUAGCAAGAAAUAGCUUAUGAUAGCUUUCACAUUAUAAAAUGCUUGGCUUAUACUUGAAAUCAGAACAUUCAUGCCUUUAAGAAAGGUGACAGUUGAUUUGUCUCAGAUAUCUACCUGCUACAAAAGGAACUGGGGUCUCAUAUGGAAAGCUUGUCUUGAGGGGGUCUACCUACUACAAAAUAGACAGCAGAAAUUUAUAGUCAGCAUUAUCUUCAUGGAUCACUUGAUCUUGUCUUGAUAUGGUGAUGUCAAAAUAAAAAGCCAGAUCCUCUAGAAAAAGAAAGAAAUCUUUCUGCUGUGGGGUUUAGUUUACGUCCAAUUAAGAUAAGGAAACUGAUUUGGCCCGUAUGAGAGAAGAUCCUAUUGGAGUUGGGAUCUAAUGAUUACUGUCCUUUGGUCUACAGAAUUAUGAAAAUGUCCUGGGUCACAAUCAAGCUUACCUGUCGGCUGUCAUUGAUAAACAAAUAGAGAACUGAUUUGGCCUGUAGGAGAGAAGAUCCUGUUGGAGUUGGGAACUAAUUGUUACUGUCCAUUCUCAUGGUCUACAGAAUUAUGAAAAUGUAUGAAAAUGUCCUGGGUGACAAUCAAGCUUACCUGUUGUUGAUAAACAAAAUAUGGGAGCCAGUAAAAUAUCUUGCCAUCAAGAAGUCCAACGAUGUGCAGGUCUGUUUCUUCAGCUCCAUGUACGUCAGCAGACGAGGUUGUUUACUCUGGUGCAGGUUAAUUAGAAAAGCAAUUUAACCAUGAUACUCGACUAAGAUGAAAUAUAAAGCUCACUAUUAAAAAUUAUACAUGUUUACUGAGUUUGAAUUCCAUUGAAGUAAGAUGCUGGAUUAACUAUUCUUCUUGACAUUUUCCUUGCACGGUCUAUUUGAAGUAACAUUUCUCAUUGGUUAGAGUAGCAGUUAUAAGCUUGCAAAAAUCUAUGCCUUAUGGCUUUGUGAUGGCAUUCUUAGCUUUUGUUUCAGAUUUUUCCUUGAAACUGGUCUUUGCAUAACGCAGCAAGAAAACAUUAAAUUAAGAAUGUGUAUCCACAGUAAAUGAAAUUUAUCUCAACCUGAUCACUAAGAUACCAGGAUGCUCAUUGUUGCAGUUACAGUGAAAGAGAAAAAAGAUUGUCUUGUCCCUGAUUUGUAGAGGCUUGUAAAAAGGUGUUAUAGUUCAUCCAGCAUCCAGCAAGCUAUAUGCUUUGAUUUUUCUAUUUCUCUAAACUACUUGGGAUAUGAUUCUGCAACCUGGCCAUGUAUUGCGUACUUUAAGGUCAAUUUGGGUACAUAUCAUAGAAGUAGCUUUUCACAAAACAUAAUUAUGUAGGAAACUUUGUAUUGUAACAGAGGUGUUGAGAAAGCAAAAACAAGUUUUUUUUUUUUUGCUCGA
Long non-coding RNA from Nymphaea colorata (pocket water lily), 3249 nucleotides. RefSeq lists it as uncharacterized. The transcript has 2 exons. The record is from RefSeq and is a predicted model, not a curated record. NCBI's taxonomy places the organism in Eukaryota, Viridiplantae, Streptophyta, Magnoliopsida, Nymphaeales, Nymphaeaceae.